CUCGCCCUUGAUGCACCUAACUUGGUCAAGAUCACGCGCCUUCCUUUCCCUUUCUUUAGCUAUCCGGAAUAACUUCCUGUCCCCGCCUUUCUCCCCUAAUUCCUCGUACAUGCGACCAAACGCCGCGUUUUUUGCUUCCGUGACCGCCAUCUUUGCUUCUUUCCUCGCCGCUUUGUAGAUCUCCAUGUUCGCUCUACGUUCUUCCUCGCUUGUGCUCCCUGCCAUCUUAGCAAACGCCGCCUUCUUUGCCUUCACUUUUCCUUGGACUACAUCGUUCCACCACCAGUCACCCUGAUGUCUGCCUGAAUAG
RNAcentral lists this long non-coding RNA (310 nucleotides) under Nicotiana benthamiana. RNAcentral's name for it is "long non-coding RNA (NBEN_LNC033188)". The record is from RNAcentral. Lineage: Eukaryota; Viridiplantae; Streptophyta; Magnoliopsida; Solanales; Solanaceae.